UUUCCGUAGGUGAACCUGCGGAAGGAUCAUUACAGAGAACAUCGCCCUUACGGGUGACUCUCCAACCCUAUGUUAUUAUACCUUUGUUGCUUUGGCGAGCCGCCUCGGCCACCGGCCUACGCUGGUGAGUGCUUGCCAGAGAACCCCAAACUCUGAGUUUAAAUAUCGUCUGAGUACUAUAUAAUAGUUAAAACUUUCAACAACGGAUCUCUUGGUUCUG
RNAcentral lists this unclassified non-coding RNA (220 nucleotides) under plant metagenome. RNAcentral describes it as "partial contains small subunit ribosomal RNA, internal transcribed spacer 1, and 5.8S ribosomal RNA". The record is from RNAcentral.